GCACCCAUAGCUCAAUUGGAUAGAGCAUCUGACUACGGAUCAGAAGGUUGAAGGUUCGAGUCCUUCUGGGUGUACCA
RNAcentral lists this transfer RNA (77 nucleotides) under Planctomycetaceae bacterium. RNAcentral's name for it is "tRNA-Arg". It matches the Rfam family "tRNA". Rfam says of the family: Transfer RNA (tRNA) molecules are approximately 80 nucleotides in length. Their secondary structure includes four short double-helical elements and three loops (D, anti-codon, and T loops). The record is from RNAcentral. Lineage: Bacteria; Pseudomonadati; Planctomycetota; Planctomycetia; Planctomycetales; Planctomycetaceae. RNAcentral also lists the same sequence under 1 other name.